GUAAUAGUUAUGUUCUUGAAACCUAAAGAAUUUGGCGGCAUUUCAUUCUUUUUAGAGGAACCUGUCCUGUAAUCGACACUCCACGAUGAAUAAUUACUUGUUUUUGUUUAGUUUGUAUACCUCCGUCAUAAGGGUAUCUUUUUAGAGGGAAUGUCCUAUAUACAUAAAUUGUAGAAUGUCAGGUCAAGGUGCAAUUUAUGGACAAGUAGAGAUGGGUUACAAUAAAAUUAUUUAUACGGAUUAGGAAUGAUAUUCUCCCUAUGAAGGUGGAUUUAAAAGUAAAAUUAAUUUCUUGUUAUUUUGAUUUUUGUUCUGAAAUGUGCACACAUCGCCCG
RNAcentral lists this ribosomal RNA (335 nucleotides) under Cordulephya pygmaea. RNAcentral describes it as "partial 12S ribosomal RNA". Lineage: Eukaryota; Metazoa; Arthropoda; Insecta; Odonata; Corduliidae. The record is from RNAcentral.